Molecule: non-coding RNA, 196 nt
Organism: Cyanistes caeruleus (blue tit)
Lineage: Eukaryota; Metazoa; Chordata; Aves; Passeriformes; Paridae
Source: RefSeq, a predicted model, not a curated record
GUAGUAGUAGUGAGGAUCACUAGCCCCUUCGCCUGGCUCCGCACCCGCUUCUACUACCUGCUCAUCCGCCUCUACUUCGACCAGGAAUUCAGCAUUGAGGAGUUCACGCGGGGGGCCAAGCAGGCCUUUUCUGUUGUUUCAAAGCUGCUGUCUCAGCGUAAACUUGACCUGCUGGAAGAACUUGUAUCAGCAGAGG